GAGUUUGAUCGUGGCUCAGGACGAACGCUGGCGGCGUGCUUAACACAUGCAAGUCGAACGGAGUAUUCACGAAAGAGGUUUCGGCCAAUGGAGUGAAUUACUUAGUGGCGGACUGGUGAGUAACGCGUGAGGAACCUGCCUUUCAGCGGGGGACAACAGUUGGAAACGACUGCUAAUACCGCAUAACACAUUUGAGGGACAUCCCUUGAAUGUCAAAGAUUUAUUGCUGAAAGAUGGCCUCGCGUCUGAUUAGCUAGUUGGUGAGGUAACGGCCCACCAAGGCGACGAUCAGUAGCCGGACUGAGAGGUUGACCGGCCACAUUGGGACUGAGAUACGGCCCAGACUCCUACGGGAGGCAGCAGUGGGGAAUAUUGGGCAAUGGACGAAAGUCUGACCCAGCAACGCCGCGUGAAGGAAGAAGGCUUUCGGGUUGUAAACUUCUUUUAAGGGGGAAGAGUAGAAGACGGUACCCCUUGAAUAAGCCACGGCUAACUACGUGCCAGCAGCCGCCGUAAC
RNAcentral lists this ribosomal RNA (517 nucleotides) under bacterium enrichment culture clone ALO1_GLFRUDD03F5P23. RNAcentral describes it as "bacterial SSU rRNA". It matches the Rfam family "Bacterial small subunit ribosomal RNA", at positions 9 to 524 of the family's 1533-position model. The record is from RNAcentral.